Molecule: ribosomal RNA, 1793 nt
Filed under: Durio zibethinus
Lineage: Eukaryota; Viridiplantae; Streptophyta; Magnoliopsida; Malvales; Malvaceae
Description: SSU rRNA
Rfam family: Eukaryotic small subunit ribosomal RNA
Source: RNAcentral
CUUGGUUAAUCCUGCUAGCAGUCAUAUGCUUGUCUCAAAGAUUAAGCCAUGUAUGUGUAAGUAUGAACUAACUUAGACUGUGAAACUGUAAAUGGCUCAUUAAAUCAAUUAUAGUUUGUUUUAUAGUAUCUACUACUUGGAUAACCAUAGUAAUUCUAGUGCUAAUACGUGCAACAAACUUCAACUUUGGAAAGGAUGCAUUUAUUAGAUAAAAAGUCAACACAGGCUUUGCCUAUUGUUUUGAUGAUUCAUGAUAACUUGAUGGAUCACACAACCUUUGUGCCAAUGAUGCAUUAUUCAAAUUUUUAACCUAUUAACUUUUGAUGGUAGGAUAGUGGCCUACUAUGGUGAUGAUGUGUGACAGAGAAUUAGGGUUUGAUUCUAGAAAGGGAGCCUGAGAAAUAGCUACCACAUCUAAAGAAGGUAGCAGGUGCACAAAUUACCUAAUCUUGACAUUAAAAGGUAGUGACAAUAAAUAACAAUAUCAAGCUUUAUAAGUUUAGUAAUUAGAAUGAGUACAAUCUAAAUCCUUCAAUAAGAAUCCAUUUGAGGGUAAGUUUGGUGUCAACAACCAUGGUAAUUGCAGCUCUGAUAGUGUACAUUUAAGUUAUUAUAGUUAAAAAGCUCAUAGUUGAACUAUGGUUGGGUCAUUUAGUCUACCUUACAAUAAGCAUCAGUCUACCCAUCGCUACUACAUGUGAUGCACUCCAAGCAUUAACUGGUCAAGUUAUUCUUUCAAUGUUAUUGCUUUAAAGAAAUUAGAGUGCUCAAAGCAGGCCUACUUUUAUAUACAUUAGCAUAAGAUAACAUCAUAGGAUUUCAGUCCUAUUAUGUUGGCCUUCAGGAUUGGAGUAAUGAUUAAUAGAGAUAUUUAGGGCAUUUGUAUUUCAUAGUUAGAGGUGAAAUUCUUGGAUUUAUGAAAAAUGACCAACUAUGAAAGCAUUAGCCAAAGAUGUUUUCAUUAAUCAAUAAUGAAAGUUGAGGGCUUGAAGAUGAUCAAAUAUCAUCUUAGACUCAACCAUAAGUAAUGUCGACCAGGGAUUAGUAGAUGUUACUUUUAGGACUCCAUUGGCACCUUAAGAGAAAUCAAAGUCUUUGCGAUUCAAGGGGAGUAUGGUCACAAGGCUGAAAGUCAAAAGAAUUAACAGAAGGGACCACUAAGAGUGAAGCCUAUAGCUUAAUUUUACUCAACAUGGGGAAACUGACUAAGUCUAGACAUAGUAAGGACUUACAAAUUGAGAGCUCUAUCUUGAAUCUAUGGGUGGUGGUGCAUGAUCGUUCCUAGUUGGUAUAGCAAUUUGUCUAGUUAAUUCCAUCAAUGAAUGAGACCUUAGCUUGCUAACUAGCCACGCUGAGGUGAUCCUUCAAGAUUAACUUCUUAGAGGAACUAUGGCCCCUUAGGCCAAGGAAGUUUAUGGCAAUAAUAGGUAUGUGAUGCCCUUAGAUGUUUUAGGCUGCACAUAUGCUACAUUGAUGUAUUCAAUGAGUCUAUAGCCUUGGUCGAUAGGCUUAGGUAAUCUUUGAAAUUACAUCAUGAUAGAGAUAGAUCAUUACAAUUUUUGGUCUUUAACGAGAAUUCCUAAUCGGUGUAAACCAUCAAUUGGCAUUGACUACGUCCCUGCCCUUUGUACACACCAACUGUCAUUUCUAUUGAUUGAAUGGUCUAGUGAAGAGUUCGGAUCAUGGUGACAUGGAUGAUUCACUACUUGUGAUGUCGUAAGAAGUUCACUAAACUUUGUCAUUUAGAGGAAAGAGAAAUCGUAACAAGGUUUUUGUAGGUGAACCUAUAGAAG